Molecule: transfer RNA, 86 nt
Filed under: Paracoccaceae bacterium
Lineage: Bacteria; Pseudomonadati; Pseudomonadota; Alphaproteobacteria; Rhodobacterales; Paracoccaceae
Also listed under: 3 other names
Description: tRNA-Leu
Rfam family: tRNA
About the family: Transfer RNA (tRNA) molecules are approximately 80 nucleotides in length. Their secondary structure includes four short double-helical elements and three loops (D, anti-codon, and T loops).
Source: RNAcentral
GCCCGAGUGGCGGAAUGGUAGACGCAGGGGAUUCAAAAUCCCCCGAUGGCAACAUCGUGUGAGUUCGAGUCUCACCUCGGGCACCA